Molecule: unclassified non-coding RNA, 512 nt
Filed under: Hevea brasiliensis (rubber tree)
Lineage: Eukaryota; Viridiplantae; Streptophyta; Magnoliopsida; Malpighiales; Euphorbiaceae
Source: RNAcentral
GAUUGGCUAUCAGUAACCCUAUAUUGACCAACGAAAUUCGGCUUGCUUCCUCUCUCUGCCAAAAGUUUGUCAAUUAAAACGUGGGUCCCAGGAACAAGAAUGAAUCUGAUUCCAAGGUGAUGAAGAAAAGCAAUAUCCUUUAGAAUAAGAUCUAAGUAAGAGCUAGAUACAAUUUCCCCAGAAAUCAUCACAACGAAAGUGCCUCCUCUAUGUGCCCAUAGGUAAGGCCAAGCCUCUCUAAACCACCGUACAAACUGCUUAUCCUCCACGGAAUUGUAAUCCUCUUCCUCUUCCUCCACAUCCCCAUUUCCGUAGUUCAAUAGAUUGAACCUUCUCGAGUUUUCCCCAACUUUCUUCAGUCCCUUGUCCCACAAGUCUACCUUAUUGAACUUAAACAUUGCCUUCCCAUUUCUGAAACUACGGCUAUGAGGGGCAUUUUUAGAAGGGAAUCCUCGGCGAGUCUGUAAAUAUAGCUGAGAGCUUGAAAGAGAGGCAGCCAUGGCAGAGGAAGC